This 2305-nucleotide long non-coding RNA is filed under the name Daucus carota (carrot). Its description in RNAcentral is "long non-coding RNA (DCAR_LNC003693)". Lineage: Eukaryota; Viridiplantae; Streptophyta; Magnoliopsida; Apiales; Apiaceae. The record is from RNAcentral.
AAUCAUCGAAACUCUCCGCCAUGGCACCCCGACCUUCUUUGGAUCGGAACAAUUCUGUGCGGCUUCGUUGUCUCUCGCUCUUUUGAAGAUCAAGCUAAUCAAGAAAAUUCCAGCGGCGUCCCUGGACAUCCACUCCUCCAAUCCUGUAGGUACCAUUUCUUCCAAAAUCAAACCCAAAUUCUUUUUCCCUCAUUCUUCUGGUCAAUUAUGUUUAUUAUUAUCAGGGGUUUGAUUAUUUUUUGUGUUUGCUUUAUAAUUUGAUUUGGCGGUGUGUGAAACUUACCUUUUUUUAUCUUGAUGCUAGAGGCUUUGUUUAAAUUGAUCAAACUGAUUGAUUUGCUUUGUGAUUGGUUGAACUUUUAGUUGAUGGGCGAUUAGCCCUGGCCAUAUCUAGACUCUUUGUGCUGAAGAAUCAGCGAUAUGCUCUGAAGUUUGUGGCUUGAUCUAAUGUUGUUGAGCUACUCGGAUCUCAAUCGAGUACUUCUUGAUCGAUCUUGACAAACACAAUUUUUGUCCCCUGCUGUAAUGCAUGUUGUGCCUUGUACCGGUUUUUAAUUCGAUAUCGGAUUUGACAGGUUGAGCAGGUGAUCAAGGAGAAGAAUAUGGUGAUGUGUUUGUUAGAGUAGAAGGUUAAUGUCAUUUAUUUGUGGAGAGCCUGAUCUUGUAGACAAAGAAAAGUUAGUUUUUUUUGCACUUAUUCAUGUGUGUUAUCUGAAGCAUUUGAUCUGAAGAUGAUUUGAUUUCCUCUUUACACAGGAUGUUCAGAAUAGUUGAAGGAGGUGGUAUCAAGCUUGAUUUUUCUUCUACAAGAUGCGGAGAGUUUCCAGGAUUUCAACAGAUGCGCACAAUGUUCACAUCAUGUUUUUGGAAGGAAUUUGUGGCUCGUGGUGCUGAAUUACACAACAAUUGUAAAGCCAAUACUAAGGUAGAUUUGAAAUUUAAAAUAAUUCGUUCCAGACUCAAGCGAACAAUACGAUUGUACUUUUUUUGUGAUCUAUAUGUAGAUGGUCGCAAGGCUGUCAACUGGAGUAGGAUGAAGGUCCUCAGAGUAAUUGCUUGCUUCGGAGAAUGGCAUUAAUUUACAAAUUAAAGAGGAGUCCUCCAUGACAAUAGAGGUAAGGAAGCAACAUUAUUUCAAAUAAACAAGUAUAGGAGCUUAAAUUUGCAAUCAUAGAAGUACAGAUUUUUUUGAGAUAUGCAAACUUAUCAGAUACAACUCUACUCCUGCAGAACUGCACACCCUCGUAGGGAAGGAAUUUGUCUUCAAACUGACACUUAACAAGUACAAUUGAGUUGAUGGCCGCAAGGACUAUGGAGUUUCUACGGUAUAUGUACCCGUGCAAGAUCUUGAACCUCCUUAUGCGAGGAAAAAUAAGCCAUAGGUAAGCGCGUUCCUUCAGCUGCAGCCUAUGUUAUACUUCUUGCUUGUGCUUAUUGAAAGCUUAUUUGUUUUGUAGUUUAGCACACACUCAUGAUAAUGUGAUUCACUCAUUAUUUAAACUAUGCUCUGUGUGUUAAGCAAUGCCUCUGAUUUUCUGUUUUUAUUUCUUCUCGCUUGGAUUUAUUUCUUUUAUAUUAGUGCCCCUUUCACCAGAAAAAUCAAUCUUAAAAUGUUCUCUGCUCUUUAAAAUGUGCAUAAUAAUAAAUAAUUUAACUAAUUAUCACCUUAAGAUCCUCUCAAAUUUUCUUUUGAAAUAGUGUGCCAGUUUAAUAUAGAGGAACAAUAUAUAAAUUGCAGAAGUACAUGCAUACAUUGAAAUUUAAUUUAAAUAAGAAUUGUUGGGCUUUCAAGUUCAAAGUAUUGCAGGAGUACAUGCAUACAUUGAAAUUUAAUUUAAAUAAGAAUUGUUGGACUUUCAAGUUCAGAGUAUUGCAGGAGUACAUGCAUACAUUGAAAUUUAAUUUAAAUAAGAUUGUUGGACUUUCAAGUUCAGUGUAGAUACGAAAAGGCCGCCGAAUUGAUAAGCUGUAAUGUGAUUAGAUGAGGUCUUAGAAAUUAUCUGUAAUGAAAUUCGAAGUUAAUUGCAUAAAAAGCAGUGUGAGUCUUCGAGACCUCACCUUGCAUUUGUUCCCGGCUGCCAUCACUUCAAGAGGGUUGUUCGUCUGUAAAUCAGGCUAAUGGCGAUAAAGAUGAUGAUAUAACAACUAAUAUUGUUAUUAAUAAUUUAAAGUUAUGGAGGCCGUUUAAAUUAUUUUCUCUAGCUCAUUUAAGAAGUAAUUAAUCUUUGUCAUGCGCUGCUUGUCAUCUUCCAGGCUGCCCUCGAUCAGGCGGAGUCUUCAGCAUCUGCUGGCAAAGUGGAAGCAG